RNAcentral lists this ribosomal RNA (497 nucleotides) under uncultured bacterium. Its description in RNAcentral is "partial 16S ribosomal RNA". It matches the Rfam family "Bacterial small subunit ribosomal RNA", at positions 28 to 507 of the family's 1533-position model. The record is from RNAcentral.
GAUGAACGCUGGCGGCGUGCCUAAUACAUGCAAGUCGAGCGAACGGACGAGAAUCUUGCUUCUCUGAUGUUAGCGGCGGACGUGUGAGUAACACGUGUAUAACCUACCUAUAAUACUGGGAUCACUUCGGGAAACCGUAUCUAAUCCCGGAUAAUAUUUUGCACCGCAUGGUUCAAAAGUGAAAUACGGUCUUGCUGUCACUUAUAGAUGGAUCCGCGCUGCAUUAGCUAGUUGUUAAGGUAACGGCUUACCAAGGCAACGAUGCAUAGCCGACCUGAGAGGGUGAUAGGCCACACGGGAGCGGAGACAGGGACAAGGCUACUAAGGGAGGGAGCAGAAGGGAAUCUUACGCAAUGGGCGAAAGCAUGACGGAGCAACGCCGAGUGAGUGAUGAAGGUCUUCGGAUCGGAAAAAUCUGUUAUGAGGGAAGAACAGAUGUGGAAGUAAAUGUGCAGAGCGUGACGGUACCUAAUCAGAAAGCCACGGCUAACUACGUG